Molecule: ribosomal RNA, 361 nt
Filed under: uncultured bacterium
Lineage: Bacteria
Description: bacterial SSU rRNA
Rfam family: Bacterial small subunit ribosomal RNA
Source: RNAcentral
UUAUCCGGAUUUAUUGGGUUUAAAGGGAGCGUAGGCGGGUGCUUAAGUCAGUUGUGAAAGUUUGCGGCUCAACCGUAAAAUUGCAGUUGAUACUGGGCGCCUUGAGUGCAGCAUAGGUAGGCGGAAUUCGUGGUGUAGCGGUGAAAUGCUUAGAUAUCACGAAGAACUCCGAUUGCGAAGGCAGCUUACUGGACUGUAACUGACGCUGAUGCUCGAAAGUGUGGGUAUCAAACAGGAUUAGAUACCCUGGUAGUCCACACAGUAAACGAUGAAUACUCGCUGUUGGCGAUACUCAGUCAGCGGCCAAGCGAAAGCAUUAAGUAUUCCACCUGGGGAGUACGCCGGCAACGGUGAAACUCAA